This 24-nucleotide non-coding RNA is filed under the name Mus musculus (house mouse). The record is from RNAcentral. Lineage: Eukaryota; Metazoa; Chordata; Mammalia; Rodentia; Muridae.
UAUAAACAAGGGAGAGAUAUAAAC